This 258-nucleotide unclassified non-coding RNA is filed under the name Hevea brasiliensis (rubber tree). Lineage: Eukaryota; Viridiplantae; Streptophyta; Magnoliopsida; Malpighiales; Euphorbiaceae. The record is from RNAcentral.
CGGAGCUAGCCGAUGGAGUUUUCAUUGGCUGUGCCUUGAACCACUCUGUCACAGAUGGAACUUCCAUCUGGAACUUCUUUAACACCUUCGCUGAGCUAUCAAGAGGAAUCAAGAAAAUCUCGCAGGUGCUGCAGCCCGAUUUUUCAAGAAACUCCGUGCUGAUAUCCCAGGAGGUGCUUCAAGUCCCUGAGGGUGGACCCAAGGUCACUUUUAAUGAAAACGAGCCACUGAGUGAAAGAAUCUUUAGCUUUAGCAGAG